This 846-nucleotide ribosomal RNA is filed under the name uncultured archaeon. Its description in RNAcentral is "bacterial SSU rRNA". It matches the Rfam family "Archaeal small subunit ribosomal RNA", at positions 73 to 922 of the family's 1478-position model. The record is from RNAcentral.
AAUACGUGGCAAACGGCUCAGUAACACGUAGUCAACAUGCCCAGGGGACGUGGAUAACCUCGGGAAACUGAGGAUAAACCGCGAUAGGCCAUGAUUUCUGGAAUGGUUCAUGGCCGAAAUCUAUAUGGCCCCUGGAUUGGACUGCGGCCGAUCAGGCUGUUGGUGAGGUAAUGGCCCACCAAACCUGUAACCGGUACGGGCUCUGAGAGGAGGAGCCCGGAGAUGGGCACUGAGACAAGGGCCCAGGCCCUAUGGGGCGCAGCAGGCGCGAAAUCUCUGCAAUAGGCGAAAGCUUGACAGGGUUACUCUGAGUGAUUCCCGCUAAGGGGAUCUUUUGGCACCUUUAAAAAUGGUGCAGAAUAAGGGGUGGGCAAGUCUGGUGUCAGCCGCCGCGGUAAUACCAGCACCCCGAGUGGUCGGGACGAUUAUUGGGCCUAAAGCAUCCGUAGCCGGUACUGCAAGUCUUCCGUUAAAUCCACCUGCUUAACAGUUGGGCUGCGGGGGAUACUACAGCGCUAGGAGGCGGGAGAGGCAAGCGGUACUCAAUGGGUAGGGGUAAAAUCCGCUGAUCCAUUGAAGACCACCAGUGGCGAAGGCGGCUUGCCAGAACGCGCUCGACGGUGAGGGAUGAAAGCUGGGGGAGCAAACCGGAUUAGAUACCCGGGUAGUCCCAGCUGUAAACGAUGCAGACUCGGUGAUGGGCUGGCCUUGUGCCAGCCCAGUGCCGCAGGGAAGCCGUUAAGUCUGCCGCCUGGGGAGUACGGUCGCAAGACUGAAACUUAAAGGAAUUGGCGGGGGAGCACCACAAGGGGUGAAGCCUGCGGUUCAAUUGGAUUCAACGCCGGG